Molecule: ribosomal RNA, 495 nt
Filed under: Staphylococcus epidermidis
Lineage: Bacteria; Bacillati; Bacillota; Bacilli; Caryophanales; Staphylococcaceae
Description: bacterial SSU rRNA
Rfam family: Bacterial small subunit ribosomal RNA
Source: RNAcentral
UCAGGAUGAACGCUGGCGGCGGCCUAUCAUGCAAGUCGAGCGAACAGACGAGGAGCUUGCCUCCUCUGACGUUAGCGGCGGACGGGUGAGUAACACGUGGAUAACCUACCUAUAAGACUGGGAUAACUUCGGGAAACCGGAGCUAAUACCGGAUAAUAUAUUGAACCGCAUGGUUCAAUAGUGAAAGACGGUUUUGCUGUCACUUAUAGAUGGAUCCGCGCCGCAUUAGCUAGUUGGUAAGGUAACGGCUUACCAAGGCAACGAUGCGUAGCCGACCUGAGAGGGUGAUCGGCCACACUGGAACUGAGACACGGUCCAGACUCCUACGGGAGGCAGCAGUAGGGAAUCUUCCGCAAUGGGCGAAAGCCUGACGGAGCAACGCCGCGUGAGUGAUGAAGGUCUUCGGAUCGUAAAACUCUGUUAUUAGGGAAGAACAAAUGUGUAAGUAACUAUGCACGUCUUGACGGUACCUAAUCAGAAAGCCACGGCUAACUA